This 73-nucleotide transfer RNA is filed under the name Bos taurus (domestic cattle). It matches the Rfam family "tRNA". Rfam says of the family: Transfer RNA (tRNA) molecules are approximately 80 nucleotides in length. Their secondary structure includes four short double-helical elements and three loops (D, anti-codon, and T loops). Further hydrogen bonds mediate the characteristic L-shaped molecular structure. tRNAs have two regions of fundamental functional importance: the anti-codon, which is responsible for specific mRNA codon recognition, and the 3' end, to which the tRNAs corresponding amino acid is attached (by aminoacyl-tRNA synthetases). tRNAs cope with the degeneracy of the genetic code in two manners: having more than one tRNA (with a specific anti-codon) for a particular amino acid; and 'wobble' base-pairing, i.e. permitting non-standard base-pairing at the 3rd anti-codon position. Lineage: Eukaryota; Metazoa; Chordata; Mammalia; Artiodactyla; Bovidae. RNAcentral also lists the same sequence under 4 other names. The record is from Rfam by way of RNAcentral.
UCUUUGGUGGUCCAGUGGUUAAGACUCCGAGCUUCCAAUACAGAGGGCACAGGUUCCAUCCCUGGUCAGAGAA